UUUUACUAUUUAAAUACGCUUUCCUUUCUUGUAAUUCCUUGGCUCGUAGACUCUGCACUGACCAACAAAGAAAAUGCAUUUUCACAUUACCUUGUCCAAAUUUAACAUACUCGUCAUUUAAUUGAUCAUAGAAAACAUUUUGCGGUACGCACAAAUGCCUAAAUCUUGAUGGGAACUGUUUGCAUGCAAUGUUGAAAUGCGUUUUCUUUUGGCGUAAAGUUUUUUUACUAGUAUGGUAAACAUCCAAUCCAUUCCUGCUUACUGAAGACUUUUUGUCAAAAUUUUGAAUCUCGGAAUUUUGAUAUUGUAUCUCAUACAAACAUUCUUGCCUAUGUCAGGAAAUAGGGUACAGUAAUUGCAUGACACAUUUUGAGUCUGCCGUCUGACUUGUACACAUGUAUUGGAACAACUAAUUACAUGGAGGUUUUGCAUCAAUUUGGGACUUGAGUUGCCGGUAGUUGGUUGAAAAGAGCAUCAAUGGAAUCCUGGAUUGCUCACUGGUUAUGGAACAUUCUCGUCUGUUCAGGCCAAAAGUAUGACAAAUCUAUCCACAUCAAACAUGGAACCGAUUACCGUAUUGUACACAGAAAUGUUUGAAGAUGAAAUGGGUUCGAUGCAUGUUGAAGUAAUGUUCCAGAAAGCAGCAUUCCAGGGGCAAGAAUCUAAGUUGUAAGGCUGAUCAACACAUUAUAUAUUGUUCAACUUACUUUCUUUGCUCCUUGGUGAAUUUGAAUUAAAUUGGAAAUUGAAAGUUAUUGAACUAAUUUUCCAAUCAGUUAGAUGGAAUUUGUGGAAGUUACCGAAAUGUCAGGACGGAGUAAUACGCAAAAUUUGGAUUCGAUAAAAGUGUUGUUAUGUGGUGAAUACUUAGAACGUCUGUUUGCACUUCCAGAAGUUUUAAGGCUUGGGACAUGAUAAAGGCUGUAGAUGGUGGAAUUUGGAUUGCAAGUCAAAAUCGUGUUGU
Daphnia carinata is the source of this 964-nucleotide long non-coding RNA. RefSeq lists it as uncharacterized. NCBI's taxonomy places the organism in Eukaryota, Metazoa, Arthropoda, Branchiopoda, Diplostraca, Daphniidae. The transcript is spliced from 4 exons. The record is from RefSeq and is a predicted model, not a curated record.